This 797-nucleotide long non-coding RNA is filed under the name Brassica napus (rape). RNAcentral describes it as "long non-coding RNA (BNAP_LNC026898)". Lineage: Eukaryota; Viridiplantae; Streptophyta; Magnoliopsida; Brassicales; Brassicaceae. The record is from RNAcentral.
UUUGAUGUUUUUAUUAUUUUUUUGACAAAGGUUUUUCUCUGUUUUGUUUUGAUGUUUGUUUGAGGUUUUUUUUUUUUUUUUGAUGUUUACCAUCAUCAGUUUCCAAUUUUGUUUUUAUACCACGCAUUGGUAGUCAUGCUGUAAUCAAAGAAUAUGUUUCACAUAACAUAAUCAUCCUGAAAUGUUCAGUUCUAGAGAGCUUAAGGAAGCUACUUAUUUCCAUCAUAGAACAGCAAUAAUUUUGUAUGCGUAUUGACUUAGAUAGAAGGAAACAUUUCAAAGAGAAGAAAAAAAAGGAACAUAUUAAUUAGAUAGCUUCUCAUUAUAUAAUAUCAUCCAAAAUAAGAAUAAUAAGAUAAAACCUAUUACAAGGCAUUUUUAUUGGUUUACUUACUCAUACGUAUCAUCAUAGCAGUUGAUUAAUUAUAGAAGAAACAGUCGUUUCUAUGGGAAGAAACAUAUUCCUUUGAUCAUCGUGUGGACAAGAGGCUGGUGGGGGAACACUAUUGGCCAGCAAUCUUCGGUUAAACCUUCCAGAACGUCACAGCAACCGUGCUUAAGGUGGCUAAAAUCCCAACGUAAUAUGGCAGUUAUGGCAUCAGCGCAUCCCUCCACAUUUUGGAUUCUCUUCACACAUUCUGCAGGACUAAAGAAUAAACCUUUUCCUGCACUCAAAGGCGAAACACUUAAUAUCACCAACAAUAUCAAUGCAAAAACUAUAACAUUUCUGUUCAAAGCCAGCAUUUUUUUUCUUAUGUUUUCAGAAGAUAUAAAACAUAAACAAAUGAAAGUUCUUU